This is a long non-coding RNA of Mus caroli (Ryukyu mouse), 1062 nucleotides long. RefSeq lists it as uncharacterized. NCBI's taxonomy places the organism in Eukaryota, Metazoa, Chordata, Mammalia, Rodentia, Muridae. The record is from RefSeq and is a predicted model, not a curated record.
GCCUCUUCCGCCUGCGCCUCGCCCAGCGGGGCCGGCGUCGGCCUCCGGUCUGCGCACCCAGUGCUAGCGGUGCACCGCCAUCUUUUUUAUGGGCAAAGAUUCCUUCGCGAUUUAUGUUCCCAAAGUAGGCUUCUUAGAAAGUCCGUAGAGAGAUGUUCGGAAGAGAAUGGACAUCUUGCACACUGAAACACUGAGCUAAAGUGUUGGGGAUCGAAGUGGAAACCCAUGAAACCGAGAAUAAACGAGAGGCCUGCCCUGAGUAAAGGAGCAACAAAUUGAAAGGCUGCAGCUGUGAACAUACACAGGCCUUGUUGAAGAGACUUCAUCAUCACAUGUGAGGAAAGAUGACAAAGAGGAUCCAAAGACAAAGCUGUGUCAUGUGGCUGUGACAAACACAGGCGCCUGAAAACAACAGAAACGUUCGCUCCCAUUUCUGGAGGUCAGAAGCCUCAAGUCAAGAUUGGCCUCUGUCACACCACAUUGCCAGCCUCAUUGGAAGAUACAUACUUAAAAUGGAUAAUCUCCUUGAAGAAAACACCCAGAGAACACUUGAUGUCUACUCUCACACUUAAAAGUCUCAACUUGGAGUCCUGGAGUCAGGUUCAGACAGUGACCUUAUCAGGUUCCUUCGAUGGGUUAUUUAGCCCCUCUAGCAAGAAGAGUGCUGACCCCACAAGGCUGUUGGAAGAGUCAAUUGAAGUGCUGGAUGUUCCGUGUCUGGCACAUAGUAAGUGCUUAAUGGAUGGAGUUAUAAUUAUCUCCUAGCUUAGCUUCCAGCCCAUCCCUGAACCAGUCACACUGGUCAGGUGAUGUCACAGUCUGGCCAGCCAAGCUCGGGUCAUAAAGUAACAUUCUGAACUGACUGCAGCAAGGACUAAGCAUUGCAGAAAGGCCAGGGUGUGAGUGGGGAAGGCAGAGGUUCAUAGCCUAUUUUUGUAGGCAUCAAAGCAGGGGAAGAUGAUGGUACCUUAAAAGAAGGUGGUGAUUGUGGUGUCAGGCUUGAGAAUCCUGUAUUGUGCUUCCUGUGAGCUGAAGGAAGUAAAAAGUUCUCAACUGCUCCAA